GGACGAACGCUGGCGGCGUGCUUAACACAUGCAAGUCGAACGGAAAGGCCCUGCUUUUGUGGGGUGCUCGAGUGGCGAACGGGUGAGUAACACGUGAGUAACCUGCCCUUGACUUUGGGAUAACUUCAGGAAACUGGGGCUAAUACCGGAUAGGAGCUCCUGCUGCAUGGUGGGGGUUGGAAAGUUUCGGCGGUUGGGGAUGGACUCGCGGCUUAUCAGCUUGUUGGUGGGGUAGUGGCUUACCAAGGCUUUGACGGGUAGCCGGCCUGAGAGGGUGACCGGCCACAUUGGGACUGAGAUACGGCCCAGACUCCUACGGGAGGCAGCAGUGGGGAAUAUUGCACAAUGGGCGGGAGCCUGAUGCAGCAACGCCGCGUGCGGGAUGACGGCCUUCGGGUUGUAAACCGCUUUCGCCUGUGACGAAGCGUGAGUGACGGUAAUGGGUAAAGAAGCACCGGCUAACUACGUG
This 469-nucleotide ribosomal RNA is filed under the name uncultured bacterium. Its description in RNAcentral is "partial 16S ribosomal RNA". It matches the Rfam family "Bacterial small subunit ribosomal RNA", at positions 27 to 507 of the family's 1533-position model. The record is from RNAcentral.